CGCCUCUUGCUAAAAAACAUGUAUAAGAGGUCCAGCCUGCCCAGUGACUAUAUGUUCAACGGCCGCGGUAUUCUGACCGUGCAAAGGUAGCGUAAUCACUUGUCUUUUAAAUAAAGACUGGUAUGAACGGCACCACGAAGGUUCAACUGUCUCCUGCAUCCAAUCCAUUAAACUGACCUCCCCGUGCAGAGGCGGGGAUACAACCAUAAGACGAGAAGACCCUAUGGAGCUUUAAACUAAAGGCAACUGCCAACUUCAACCUAACCCAUAAGGAAAUAACAAUUAAACAAGCAGAAACUGACCUAAAGUUUUCGGUUGGGGCGACCACGGAGAAUAAAAAAUCCUCCUUGAAGAAUAGGGCCUACCACCCUUAACCAAGAACCACCAUUCUAAGUAACAAAAUUUAUGACUAUAAUUGAUCCAGUCCUACUGAUCAACGAACCAAGUUACCCUAGGGAUAACAGCGCAAUCCAUUUCAAAAGUUCCUAUCGACAAAUGGGUUUACGACCUCGAUGUUGGAUCAGGGCAUCCCAGUGGUGCAGCCGCUACUAAAGGUUCGUUUGUUCAACGAUUAAAGCCCUA
RNAcentral lists this ribosomal RNA (582 nucleotides) under Xenopus laevis (African clawed frog). RNAcentral's name for it is "partial 16S ribosomal RNA". It matches the Rfam family "Bacterial large subunit ribosomal RNA", at positions 1816 to 2598 of the family's 2925-position model. The record is from RNAcentral. Lineage: Eukaryota; Metazoa; Chordata; Amphibia; Anura; Pipidae.